RNAcentral lists this ribosomal RNA (432 nucleotides) under uncultured bacterium. RNAcentral's name for it is "partial 16S ribosomal RNA". It matches the Rfam family "Bacterial small subunit ribosomal RNA", at positions 29 to 507 of the family's 1533-position model. The record is from RNAcentral.
AACGAACGCUGGCGGCAUGCCUAACACAUGCAAGUCGAACGAGACCUUCGGGUCUAGUGGCGCACGGGUGCGUAACGCGUGGGAACCUGCCCUUAGGUUCGGAAUAACUCCCCGAAAGGGGUGCUAAUACCGGAUAAUGUCUUCGGACCAAAGAUUUAUCGCCUUUGGAUGGGCCCGCGUUGGAUUAGCUAGUUGGUAGGGUAAAAGCCUACCAAGGCGACGAUCCAUAGCUGGUCUGAGAGGAUGAUCAGCCACACUGGGACUGGGACACGGCCCAGACUCCUAGGGGGGGGAGCAGGGGGGAUUAUGGGAAAAUGGGCGAAAGCCUGAUCCAUCAAGGCCGGGUGGGUGAUGAGGGCCUUAGGGUUGUAAACCCCUUUUUCCCGGGAUGUUAAUAACGGACCCGGGGAAUAAACCCCCGCCCACUUCCUG